RNAcentral lists this long non-coding RNA (861 nucleotides) under Bos indicus x Bos taurus (hybrid cattle). RNAcentral's name for it is "lncRNA (ENSBIXG00005030217.1)". The record is from RNAcentral. Lineage: Eukaryota; Metazoa; Chordata; Mammalia; Artiodactyla; Bovidae.
AUUUCUUUCCAAUUUUAUUUGUGUCUUCUUGGUUAUUUCCUUUUCUUUUGUCUUAUGUCUCAUGUCUUUUUAUUUCCUUAAUGUUUUAUGUCUUCUUUUUAAAUUUUAUUAACACCUCAUGAUCUCACCUAUAGAGAUUUAGGAAUAAGGAAUCUCAUAAGGAAUCUCAACCCUGAUCACCGUAUCUUCCUAAGAUUACGGUUAUUGUACCUGAUAUUUACAGUCACAACUAGACAAGGGUGUUCAAAGCAGCACCAAGCAAGUCACCAGGUUCUUUCUUUUUUCCCUUCCUGCCUAUAUCAGGUACAUUCUUCCCUCAACUCUCAAGAUCCCUUAGCCCUGGCAAGAUAGCAACUCCAUUCUUGCCUACUGUUCCCUGAACAUAAGGAGCUUAAAGCACCCAGGUAACGGCUAUAGUUUUUAAUAAAUGGUAUCUUUGCUGUGUAUCUCUGUUCUAUUCAGUAACAGGAUCCAAGCAUUGCAUGAAUGGGAAGCACGAACUCCCCCACGGAUGCUGUGUGCAGAUGCUACGUGUGACUACUUCUACAUUUACCCAUUGGUCCUGUCUCUUUCCCAAGUUCUGGCUUUCAAGAGAAGAAGAAUGAAAAGGGAGGCAAGCAAUUUCUUAAGAAUGAGUUGGGGCAGCAAUUGGCAACCUCCUGUCUUCCCUUUUGAGAAGUAGCAGGUUGAUUUUACUACGCCUAAUAAUAAUUCUUAUUUUCUAUUCAAAGUUGUAUUAAAAUAUAGUCUUCAAAAUUGCUUUGUGAUUAAAAUGUAUGUGUGCGUAAUUCGUAUGUAAAAUUACACUGUGGUAAAACAUUCACUUUGUGAGCAUAUCUAAUAAAAAAGCUUUGGCACACA